CCUACGGGGGGCAGCAGUAGGGAAUAUUGCUCAAUGGGGGAAACCCUGAAGCAGCAACGCCGCGUGAGCGAUGAAGUAUUUCGGUAUGUAAAGCUCUAUCAGCAGGGAAGAAAAUGACGGUACCUGACUAAGAAGCCCCGGCUAACUACGUGCCAGCAGCCGCGGUAAUACGUAGGGGGCAAGCGUUAUCCGGAUUUACUGGGUGUAAAGGGAGCGUAGACGGCGAUGCAAGCCAUAUGUGAAAGCCCGGGGCUCAACCCCGGGACUGCAUUUGGAACUGUAUAGCUUGAGUGUCGGAGAGGCAGGCGGAAUUCCUAGUGUAGCGGUGAAAUGCGUAGAUAUUAGGAGGAACACCAGUGGCGAAGGCGGUCUGCUGGACGAUGACUGACGUUGAGGCUCGAAAGCGUGGGGAGCAAACAGGAUUAGAUACCCGUGUAGUC
RNAcentral lists this ribosomal RNA (440 nucleotides) under uncultured bacterium. RNAcentral's name for it is "partial 16S ribosomal RNA". It matches the Rfam family "Bacterial small subunit ribosomal RNA", at positions 338 to 795 of the family's 1533-position model. The record is from RNAcentral.